Mus musculus (house mouse) is the source of this 5805-nucleotide RNA transcript. It is a transcript of the gene named myomesin family, member 3, with no coding region annotated. NCBI's taxonomy places the organism in Eukaryota, Metazoa, Chordata, Mammalia, Rodentia, Muridae. The record is from RefSeq and is marked validated. The transcript is spliced from 36 exons.
AGAAGCUGAAGACCUUUCUCUGGGUGCCCCACAACGGGAAGGACAGUUGUGAUCCGACUUCUAUAGCAGAGAACACACGUGUCCACUUUCCCCAAGCCAGACUGGAGCCCGAGGCAUGGCUCUUACUCCAGGCAGGGUGGGGUGGAAAAGCCAGAGGUGGGGGAGGAGCAGCAGGGGGUGGGGGCCACCCCACCUGUUGCUGCUGCCCAGCAGUGCUGGCAGGAAGAGACAGCCCUCCCCUCUGCCUCCACCCUCACCACAGCUCCCAUCCAUUGUCACCGCACUGUCUCAGCGCUGCUAUAUUUAAGACGGUUACAAGGCUCUCAGAUCACAUUCUUCCCCCGUCCUCACUGAGCCGAGGACAAGAAGAGAGCAGAGAGCCUCUUACUGUCCUAGAGACUGCCCAGUGGACACUGCUGUUUCUGUUAUUGCGCUCGCAGCCAUGACUCUGCCCCACAGCCCUGGGAGUGCCGGGGAGCCCCAAGCCUCCCAGACCGUGCAGGUCCACAGGCUGGAACACAGGCAGGAGGAGGAGCAGAAAGAGGAGCGGCAGCACAGCCUGCAGAUGGGUUCUUCCGUGCAGAGGCGGACCUACCGCAGCAGUGAGGAGGAACAACAGUUCAGCUCUGAAGACUAUGCCCUGGCUGCUGCCCUGGCCCUGACAGCCUCCUCAGAGUUGUCCUGGGAAGCUAAGCUGAGACGCCAGACCACCACAGUGGAGCUGGAGGAGCGUGGACAGAGGCGGGUAGGCUUUGGCAAUGACCUGGAGCGGAUGGAGCUGGCCUUCCUACGCACUCAGAGGCUGCUGCGUCAGAGGCGAGACUGGAAGGCGCUGCGGCAACGGACAGAGGAGAAGGUCCGAGAGGCCAAGGAACUGAUCGAGUUGUGCUCUGGCCGCGGCCCCUGGUUCUGGAUCCCGCUUCGAUCGCAUGCCGUCUGGGAGCACACCACGGUACUGCUGACCUGCACCGUCCAGGGCUCACCUCCAUUCCAGGUCACCUGGUACAAGAACGACAUCCGGAUCGAUCCCCGCCUCUUUCCAGCCGGCAAGUACCGUAUCACCAACAACUACGGGCUGCUGACCCUGGAGAUCAUGAGGUGCACGGUGGAGGACUCGGCCACCUACACUGUGCUGGUGAAGAACGCCUACGGCCAGGCCUCUUCCUUUGCCAAAGUCCUCAUCCGCAAUUACCUGGGGAAAGAUGCUGGCUUUGACUCGGAGAUCUUUAAACGAUCUAUGUUCGGCCCCAGCGCGGAGUUUACAUCGGUGUUGAAGCCAAUCUUUGCCCAAGAGAAAGAGCCUUUCUCCCUGACCUGUUUGUUCUCAGACGAUGUAUUAGAAGCUGAGCAGAGAAUCCAGUGGUACAGAGAUGGCAGGCUACUGAGGUCUUCAACACGCAGGCAGAUACUCUACGCAGACCGCCAGGCCUCCGUGAAGGUGUCCUGUGCCUACAAAGAGGACGAGGGGUUCUACACAAUCCGAGUCUCCUCGCCCUUUGGGCCGCAGGAGCAGAGCGCCUAUGUCUUUAUAAGAGAUGCUGCAGCUGAGAAGCCAGGAGCCCCAGGCUCGCCACUAAACGUCCGGUGUCUGAAUGUGCAUAGAGACUGCCUGACCCUGACCUGGGUCCCGCCCAGCGACACCCGGGGCAGCACCAUCACUGGCUAUUCCAUUGAGAUGUGCCAGGGUGAUUCGGAGGAGUGGAUGCCCUGCCUUAAGGCCCCCGGGGGAACCUGCCGGUGCCCGAUCCAAGGCCUCGUUGAAGGACAGAGCUAUCAGUUCCGAGUGCGCGCCAUCAGCAAAGCCGGCACCAGUCUCCCUUCCAAGGCCUCAGAAGCAGUUGUCACGGGUGACUAUGAUGCAGUCCAUAAGAGUACAGAGAUUCCCUAUGACCUGGGCAGCAAGAUCACCAUCAGCAAGAACGAUUUCGAAGAUGCUGUGACCAUUCCCUCAGCCCCAACCAAUGUCCACGCCAGCGAGAUCAGAGAAGCCUAUGCGGUUCUGAGCUGGGAGGAGCCACGCCCCCGGGGCAGAGCCCCGCUGACUUACACUCUGGAAAAGUCCGUCAUCGGUAGUGGAACCUGGGAGGCCAUCAGCACGGAAACACCCAUCAAGUCCCCAAGAUUCGCCCUCCUGGACUUAGAGAAGGGGAAAUCGUAUGUCUUCAGAGUGAGAGCCUUGAACCAGUACGGCAUGAGUGAUCCCUCAGAGCCCAGCGAGCCUGUCGCCCUGAAGGGCAAGCCAGCGACUCUCCCUCCUCCAGCUCAAGUUCAAGCUUUCCGAAACACUCAGACCUCUGUCUCCCUUGCCUGGGAGCCCGUGGAUGGUGGCUCGGAGCUCCUGGGUUAUUACAUCUACUCCCGCGAGGCCGGAGCAUCAGAGUGGCAGACUGUGAACAACAAACCCAUCCAGGACACCAAGUUCACAGUCCCAGGGCUGAGGACUGGGAAGGAGUACGACUUUUGCAUCAGGUCGGUCAGCGAGGCUGGGGUUGGUGAGAGUUCAGCUGCCACACAGCCAGUCAGGGUCAAGCAAGCACUAGCCACUCCAUCGGCCCCAUAUGACUUCGCACUCCUAAACUGUGGGAAGAAUGAAAUGGUCAUUGGAUGGAAACCCCCCAAGCGACGCGGAGGCGGCAAGAUCCUGGGCUACUUCAUGGACCAGCAUGAUUCAGUGGAGUCAGACUGGCACCCAGUCAACCGUCAGCCCAUCCCAAGCCGUGUGUGCAAGGUCACCAACCUUCAUGAAGGCCAUUUCUAUGAGUUCCGAGCCCGGGCCGUGAACUGGGCAGGUAUUGGCGAGCUGUCGGCACCCAGCAGCCUGUUUGAGUGCAAAGAGUGGACGAUGCCGGAGCCAGGUCCCCCAUAUGAUGUGAGGGUGUCUGAGGUACAGGCCACGUCUGUGAUGCUGCAGUGGGAGCCCCCACUGUAUAUUGGAGCCGGGCCAGUCACAGGCUACCAUGUCAGCUUCCAGGAGAAAGGCUCUGAGGAGUGGAAGCCGGUCACCCCAGAUGCCACCUCUGACACCCACCUCAGGGUGUCUGACUUACAACCGGGAAAGCAAUACAUGUUCAGGGUCCAGGCCAUGAACUCAGCUGGUCUGGGACAACCAUCGGUGCCCACUGACCCUGUGCUCCUGGAGGACAAGCCAGACGCCCAGGAGAUUGAAGUUGGUGUGGACGACGAGGGCCAGAUCUACUUGGCUUUUGAAGCCCCCGAAGCCCCUGACUUCCCUGAGUUUCAGUGGUCCAAGGAUUACCAAGGCCCACCAGACCCACAGAGGGUGGAGGUGGAAGAUGAAAUUAGCAAGUCCAAGGUCAUCCUGAAAGAACCUGACCUUCAGGACUUGGGCAUCUACUCAGUGGUAGUCCCCGAUGCCGACGAAGACACCUCUGCUAGCCACACGCUGACGGAGGAAGAGCUGAACAAGCUGAAGAAGCUGAGUCACGAGAUCAGAAACCCAGUCAUCAAGCUGAUCUCUGGCUGGAACGUGGAAAUCCUCGAGCAAGGUGAGGUGCGGCUGUGGCUGGAGGUGGAGAAACUGUCGCCCGCCGCCGAGCUGCACCUCAUCUUCAACGAGAAGGAGAUCUUCAGCUCCCCGAACCGCAAGAUCAACUUUGACCGAGAGAAGGGCUUAGUGGAAGUUAUCAUCCAACAACUUUCCGAAGAUGACAAGGGGUCCUACACCGCCCAGCUCCAAGAUGGAAAAGCCAAGAACCAGAUCACUCUCGCCCUGGUGGAUGACGAAUUUGACAAGCUCCUGAGAAAGGCAGACGCAAAGAGAAGAGACUGGAAGAGAAAACAGGGUCCCUAUUUCCAGGAGCCUUUGACCUGGAAGGUCACAGAUGACUGCCAAGUGCUUCUGUCGUGCAAGGUAACAAACACGAAGAAGGAGAGUCGCUUUCAGUGGUUCUUCCAGAAGAAAGAGGCGCCACAUGGGCAGUACAACCCGCCGACCGGAGAUGGGAGUCUCUCCAUUGAGGGGUUUUCCAAAGAAAACCAGGGAGUCUACAGAGCCGUGGUUUCUGACGAGAGAGGGGAAGAUGACACUGUGCUGGACCUCACAGGUGAAGCCCUAGAUGCCGUCCUCACUGAGCUGGGCAGGAUUGGUGAGAUAAGCGGCUGGAGAGUGGCGAUCGGGUACGGGCAGGCACCACCCUGGAUGAGAUUUGGCUCCACAUCCUGGACCCUAAGGACUCAGAUAAAGGCAAAUACACCCUGGAGAUCACUGCUGGGAAGGAAGUCCGGCAGCUCUCAGCAGACCUGUCUGGACAAGCUUUUGAUGACGCCCUGGCAGAGCACCAGAGACUGAAGGCCUUGGCUGUCAUUGAGAAGAAUCGGGCUAAAGUGGUAAGGGGCCUGCCAGACGUGGCCACCAUCAUGGAAGAUAAGACCCUGUGCCUGACCUGUGUCAUCUCGGGAGACCCGUCCCCUGAAAUCUCUUGGCUAAAGAACGACCAGCCUAUCUCCUUCUUUGACCGAUACCACAUGGAGGUGAAGGGUACGGAGGUCACCGUCACCAUUGACAAGGUCACCAGCGAAGAUAGCGGGCGCUAUGGAAUCUUCGUCAAGAACAAGUAUGGUUCGGAGACAGGCCAGGUCACCAUCAGCGUGUUCAAACAUGGGGAGGAGCCCAAGGAGCUGAAGAAGAAGUAAUGGGAGCAUUGGGGGGCAGCCUGAGAUCCACCCUACAACGACCAGCAGGCCAGCCCAUGGGUCAUAACCUAGCACAGGCUAUGGGGAUAGGACAGGGGAAGGGAAGGGACAGGGACAUGACAGACCUGGAUCUAACACACAAAAGAGGAGAAGCAAAGAUUUUGCUGGGGUUCUCAGAGGACUCCAGAAUGUGGGGUGCACCCUGGCCUUAGAAGUCAGAAGCUGGAGUGUAAAACUUUGUUUCCACAAAAGCUCUUCACAAGCCUCGCCUUUUCACAUCCAUCAGAUGGGCAUUCCUAUAUAUUCCUUGGGGAUUUAUAAAAAUCCCUUAUCAAUCUCUGUCAGUGGGCCACAGAAGGAGGCACCUUUGCUCUGCAGGGGACAACUGGCAAAGCUAAGAGUUUGGUUGUGACAACCGGAAGUAUUUACUGGCAUUGAGUGGGUUAAUACCACAGAUGCUGGUGAACACCGUAAGGCUCCUCCCACGGCACAGAAUAUAUUCUCUUUUAAAAUAGGACUGUCACCUUUCUACGUGUCCGUCACUCUUUGGACAUAUAGCAUACACAAGGCUGAGGAUGGCCCCAAAGCUAAGAAGAUAAACAUUACACAGGCCCCACUCAGAAAGGGACUGGGGUGCAGGGGUCGCCAGGGCAAGACAGGAGAUACUAAAGUUCACUAAAUGAGUAAAAGGAAAGUACCUUCAAUGAUCAGAGGAAGCGGGCAAUGAUUGAGAGAUGCAGAGCUUGGCAACACCCUUCCACAUUGCGUGGGACAGUGUCGGGCCCUGAAAGCUGAAUCCAGUUUGGCUGUGGAGAUGAGAGGACACCUCAAGGAGCAGACAUGGUGAGGGGUGAGGAAGAAAGGAGUCUCCCUAGGCGACCUGGGAAGCCAGGCAGUGCAGGUGAUGACCUUCGGGGCUUCUUCCAACAUGGAGCCUAUAUGGCCCAUGGCAGACACUUUGGCUGGCCUUACUCAGUGGAUCUCGGUACACAACUGGACAUUUCUCUGCCUUCCGACUUCCUCCAACAAGAUGUGGGAGGGAGGGAGGAGUUAUCAAAUUCUAGCUGUUUGCUGCCAAAUCUUAGAUGAUUUUGGAAAUUAUAAAGGAGGAAAUAAAAAAAAGACAAUCUGUAUUUUCAUCAAGAGGCAGCA